RNAcentral lists this long non-coding RNA (910 nucleotides) under Phasianus colchicus (ring-necked pheasant). Its description in RNAcentral is "lncRNA (ENSPCLG00000019574.1)". The record is from RNAcentral. Lineage: Eukaryota; Metazoa; Chordata; Aves; Galliformes; Phasianidae.
CUUUGGUAUCCACAUGAGGCAGUGAAGCUCUUCGAGGGAAUGUGGCUGUUAACCUGUGUGUGUCAAGGGAUCCUUGAGAGCAAUAUGGUACCUCUCGAGCUGUGAAUUCAGAAGGGAUGGACGUGGACGGCCAGCAUCAGCUCACCAUGUUCCAGGUGGUCCAUCAACAAGAAGUGUGACUGCCUACAGAGAACCCCAGAAGACUGAGGAAUGGCAUGGUUACUUAUGCUGCAAAACGAUCUGAUUGAGAAGCUCCUAGUGACAGGGUAACAAGAAAAGGUGAAGGCAAUAAACAAACAUACAGAGACACAGACCUAACGAGCAGCGAUGGAGAAUGCGAGGAGAAACAAAACUCACUGGUCACACCGAUUGACGGGCUAUCCCAGGAAGACCAACCUGGACUUUGCAAAUGAAACUCAGAAAAGAACAUUCAGAACAGGGCCAGUAUUGGGCUUCAGAGAAACCACAAAAUCUGACCAUCUAACUCCUCAUCAGUGACGAGAAAAUGGUCGGUUUCCACUCACUCUCCUGGGAUACAGACAUCUUGAAUGUCAUCUGAUUAGGAAAAUGGUGGGAAAUAGGACUAAUUCUCUCUACAACAGUAAUCAUCGCAACUGACACCUACCAAAUCUUAGCAUUUAUAAAGACUUUGUAUGGUGUUAGUCAGUGGUGGAUUCAGGGACAGUAGCUGUGCAGUGCACAGUGCCAGUGCAGCGAUGUCUUCAGGCCACUUGACUGCAGUGUAACUGGUUCCUGUCUCUGCUUUCUUACCAACUGAAUGUGUCUAGAUUUCAUCUUUCCUUGCUGACGCUAAUGGAUGUUGAUGGAGUAAGUGUUGCUACUGCGAAUGCCUGCAGAACAUUUCAUCACACACCAUGUGACACUUGAAUAAAUAUACCAGAGUAAGACA